UACGUAGGGGGCGAGCGUUAUCCGGAAUUAUUGGGCGUAAAGAGUACGUAGGUGGUUUUGUAAGCGUAGGGUGAAAGCCCGGGGCUCAACUCCGGCGAGCCCUACGAACUGCAAGACUUGAGUGCAGGAGGGGAAAGUGGAAUUCCUGGUGUAGCGGUGAAAUGCGUAGAUAUCAGGAGGAACACCGGUGGCGAAGGCGACUUUCUGGACUGUAACUGACACUGAGGUACGAAAGCGUGGGGAGC
Molecule: ribosomal RNA, 245 nt
Filed under: uncultured Anaerovorax sp.
Lineage: Bacteria; Bacillati; Bacillota; Clostridia; Peptostreptococcales; Anaerovoracaceae
Description: partial 16S ribosomal RNA
Rfam family: Bacterial small subunit ribosomal RNA
Source: RNAcentral